This 408-nucleotide ribosomal RNA is filed under the name uncultured bacterium. RNAcentral describes it as "partial 16S ribosomal RNA". It matches the Rfam family "Bacterial small subunit ribosomal RNA", at positions 28 to 526 of the family's 1533-position model. The record is from RNAcentral.
GACGAACGCUGGCGGCGUGCUUAACACAUGCAAGUCGAACGAAGUGGCGAACGGGUGAGUAACGCGUAAUCAACCUGCCCUUCAGAGGGGGACAACAGUUGGAAACGACUGCUAAUACCGCAUACUGAAGGAGGGGAUUGCGUCUGAUUAGCUAGUUGGAGGGGUAACGGCCUAACAAGGCGAUGAUCAGUAGCCGGUCUGAGAGGAUGAACGGCCAAAAUGGGAAUGGGCAACGGCCCAGAAUCCUACGGGAGGCAGCAGUGGGGAAACUUCCGAAAUGGACGGAAGGCGGGCGGAGCAACGCCGCGUGAGUGAUGACGGCCGUCGGGUUGUAAAGCUCUGUUAAUCGGGACGCGGUACCGGAAUAGAAAGCCACGGCUAACUACGUGCCAGUCGCCGCGGUAAUUC